This 60-nucleotide transfer RNA is filed under the name Baylisascaris schroederi (giant panda roundworm). RNAcentral describes it as "tRNA-Ile". Lineage: Eukaryota; Metazoa; Nematoda; Chromadorea; Rhabditida; Ascarididae. The record is from RNAcentral.
AUUAUUUUAGUAAAAUUUUAUUAUGUCGUCUUGAUAAGGCGGAGUUCUGCGGGGAUAAUA